GAGAAGGGGGGGGCGUGGGGCGCGUGGAGGGACGAGGAGGGCGGUGGCGCGGCGUGCCCCAGCCUGGCCCCUCGCCCUCCCCCAGGUGUGUACACCUGCAGCGGGCCCACCUCCCCCGGGCACCUCAGGGAAGGGGGCAGGUGAGGGACUCGCCUGCAGCUCCCCCGGCCUGAAGCAACUCCAUCCUCUCCUGCAGCUGCCGGACGUGCGCCUCCAGGUCACGGUUCCGAGCCUGGGCCUCGCGGAGUUGACUGCGGGGAGGUGAGGGCUGGGAGUCCUUGAGGUAAAGAUGGUGACUGCCCCAGGGCCCCGACCCCGACCUGGCGAAGUUCUGGUUGGCCUUAUGGAUGGCCGCUAGCUCCUGGCUCAGGCUCUGCCGGGUCAGCACCUCCUCCUCCAGGGCCUCCUGGAGCUCCCGCAGCGUCACCUCCGGCUCUGCCACCGCCUCCUGAAUGGUCUCCGGAACUGCCGCUUCAGCCUGGGUCACGUAGCCCCCUCCUCCAGGAAGCCCUCCAGGACCUUUCAUGCUGCAUCAGGAGGCGUGCCCCCUGCACCUCCCCGCCCGUCUCAGCCCUGAUCUCUCUGGGGCGUCACUGUCAGGGACAAGUCUGGGUCUCCCACUGGACUGUGAGUCUAGGUCACUGCUGGCUUCCUAGUACUCAGCCCCCGUAGAGCAGGGGUUCUGGGGAAGCAGUGAUUU
Molecule: long non-coding RNA, 700 nt
Filed under: Ovis aries (sheep)
Lineage: Eukaryota; Metazoa; Chordata; Mammalia; Artiodactyla; Bovidae
Description: lncRNA (ENSOARG00000026930.1)
Source: RNAcentral